GAUGAACGCUGGCGGCGUGCCUAAUACAUGCAAGUCGAGCGAACAGACGAGGAGCUUGCUCCUCUGACGUUAGCGGCGGACGGGUGAGUAACACGUGGAUAACCUACCUAUAAGACUGGGAUAACUUCGGGAAACCGGAGCUAAUACCGGAUAAUAUAUUGAACCGCAUGGUUCAAUAGUGAAAGACGGUUUUGCUGUCACUUAUAGAUGGAUCCGCGCCGCAUUAGCUAGUUGGUAAGGUAACGGCUUACCAAGGCGACGAUGCGUAGCCGACCUGAGAGGGUGAUCGGCCACACUGGAACUGAGACCCGGUCCAGACUCCUACGGGAGGCAGCAGUAGGGAAUCUUCCGCAAUGGGCGAAAGCCUGACGGAGCAACGCCGCGUGAGUGAUGAAGGUCUUCGGAUCGUAAAACUCUGUUAUUAGGGAAGAACAAAUGAGUAAGUAACUAUGCACGUCUUGACGGUACCUAAUCAGAAAGCCACGGCUAACUACGUG
Molecule: ribosomal RNA, 497 nt
Filed under: uncultured bacterium
Lineage: Bacteria
Description: partial 16S ribosomal RNA
Rfam family: Bacterial small subunit ribosomal RNA
Source: RNAcentral